This 470-nucleotide ribosomal RNA is filed under the name uncultured bacterium. RNAcentral describes it as "bacterial SSU rRNA". It matches the Rfam family "Bacterial small subunit ribosomal RNA", at positions 53 to 518 of the family's 1533-position model. The record is from RNAcentral.
ACAUGCAAGUCAGGGGCAGCACAAGGAGCAAUCUGAGGUGGCGACCGGCGCACGGGUGAGUAACACGUAUGCAACCUGCCUGUAAGCGGGGAAUAAACCCGUUGAAAGACGGACUAAUACCGCAUAAUACUAAAUUACUGCAUGGUAAUUUAUUUAAACAUUUAUGGCUUACAGAUGGGCAUGCGCAUGAUUAGCUAGUUGGAGAGGUAACGGCUCCCCAAGGCAACGAUCAUUAGGGGUUCUGAGAGGAAGGUCCCCCACACUGGUACUGAGACACGGACCAGACUCCUACGGGAGGCAGCAGUGAGGAAUAUUGGUCAAUGGACGAGAGUCUGAACCAGCCAAGUCGCGUGCAGGAAGAAUGUCCUAUGGAUUGUAAACUGCUUUUGCAGGGGAAUAAAGUGCAUCACGUGUGAUGUUUUGUAUGUACUCUGCGAAUAAGGAUCGGCUAACUCCGUGCCAGCAGCUGC